This 486-nucleotide ribosomal RNA is filed under the name uncultured bacterium. RNAcentral's name for it is "bacterial SSU rRNA". It matches the Rfam family "Bacterial small subunit ribosomal RNA", at positions 21 to 507 of the family's 1533-position model. The record is from RNAcentral.
GGCUCAGGAUGAACGCUAGCGGUAGGCUUAACACAUGCAAGUCGAGGGGUAUAGUUCUUCGGAAUUAGAGACCGGCGCACGGGUGCGUAACGCGUAUGCAAUCUACCUUUCACAGAGGGAUAGCCCAGAGAAAUUUGGAUUAAUACCUCAUAGUAUAGCAGUUUCGCAUGAAACCACUAUUAAAGUUCCAACGGUGAAAGAUGAGCAUGCGUCCCAUUAGCUAGAUGGUAAGGUAACGGCUUACCAUGGCUACGAUGGGUAGGGGUCCUGAGAGGGAGAUCCCCCCACACUGGUACUGAGACACGGACCAGACUCCUACGGGAGGCAGCAGUGAGGAAUAUUGGUCAAUGGACGCAAGUCUGAACCAGCCAUGCCGCGUGCAGGAUGACGGUCCUAUGGAUUGUAAACUGCUUUUGUACGAGAAGAAACAACAUUACGUGUAAUGUCUUGACGGUAUCGUAAGAAUAAGGAUCGGCUAACUCCGUG